Molecule: transfer RNA, 73 nt
Filed under: Clostridiales bacterium
Lineage: Bacteria; Bacillati; Bacillota; Clostridia; Eubacteriales
Description: tRNA-Lys
Rfam family: tRNA
About the family: Transfer RNA (tRNA) molecules are approximately 80 nucleotides in length. Their secondary structure includes four short double-helical elements and three loops (D, anti-codon, and T loops). Further hydrogen bonds mediate the characteristic L-shaped molecular structure. tRNAs have two regions of fundamental functional importance: the anti-codon, which is responsible for specific mRNA codon recognition, and the 3' end, to which the tRNAs corresponding amino acid is attached (by aminoacyl-tRNA synthetases). tRNAs cope with the degeneracy of the genetic code in two manners: having more than one tRNA (with a specific anti-codon) for a particular amino acid; and 'wobble' base-pairing, i.e. permitting non-standard base-pairing at the 3rd anti-codon position.
Source: RNAcentral
GCACCCUUAGCUCAGUUGGCAGAGCAACUGACUCUUAAUCAGUGGGUCCAGGGUUCGAGCCCCUGAGGGUGCA